RNAcentral lists this ribosomal RNA (464 nucleotides) under uncultured bacterium. RNAcentral's name for it is "partial 16S ribosomal RNA". It matches the Rfam family "Bacterial small subunit ribosomal RNA", at positions 28 to 506 of the family's 1533-position model. The record is from RNAcentral.
GACGAACGCUGGCGGCGUGCUUAACACAUGCAAGUCGAACGGAAAGGCCCUGCUUGCAGGGUACUCGAGUGGCGAACGGGUGAGUAACACGUGGGUGAUCUGCCCUGCACUUCGGGAUAAGCCUGGGUAACUGGGUCUAAUACCGGAUAGGAGCCAUUUUUAGUGUGAUGGUUGGAAAGUUUUUUCGGUGUAGUAUGAGCUCGCGGCCUAUCAGCUUGUUGGUGGGGUAAUGGCCUACCAAGGCGGCGACGGGUAGCAGGGCUGGGCGGGGGGACGGCCAAACUGGGCUGGGGAUACGGCACGGACUAGUAUCGGAGGGAGGGGUGGGGAGGAGUGCACAAUGGGAGGAAGCAUGAUCCAGUGACGCCGCGUGGGGGAUGACGGCCAUCGGGUUGUAUACUCCUUUCGCUUGGGACGAGGCUUUUUGUGACGGUCCCUAGAUAAGAAGCACGGGCAAACUACUU